Molecule: long non-coding RNA, 88 nt
Organism: Etheostoma spectabile (orangethroat darter)
Lineage: Eukaryota; Metazoa; Chordata; Actinopteri; Perciformes; Percidae
Exons: 3
Source: RefSeq, a predicted model, not a curated record
CACAAAUCAAUAUUUUUCUCAAGGGGCUUCACAAUCUGUACAGCAAACAACAUCCACUAUCCUUAGACCCUUGACUGAGAAAAAACUC